Molecule: ribosomal RNA, 252 nt
Filed under: uncultured bacterium
Lineage: Bacteria
Description: partial 16S ribosomal RNA
Rfam family: Bacterial small subunit ribosomal RNA
Source: RNAcentral
UACGUAGGGGCAAGCGUUGUCCGGAAUCACUGGGCGUAAAGAGCGUGUAGGCGGCCAGAAAAGUCCGCUGUGAAAACUCGAGGCUCAACUUCGAGCUGUCGGUGGAAACUUUCUGGCUAGAGUCCGGAAGAGGAGAAUGGAAUUCCUGGUGUAGCGGUGAAAUGCGCAGAUAUCAGGAAGAACACCCGUGGCGAAGGCGGUUCUCUGGGACGGUACUGACGCUGAGACGCGAAAGCGUGGGGAGCGAACAGG